Molecule: ribosomal RNA, 531 nt
Filed under: Bifidobacterium bifidum
Lineage: Bacteria; Bacillati; Actinomycetota; Actinomycetes; Bifidobacteriales; Bifidobacteriaceae
Description: bacterial SSU rRNA
Rfam family: Bacterial small subunit ribosomal RNA
Source: RNAcentral
GGGUGGUAAUGCCGGAUGUUCCACAUGAUCGCAUGUGAUUGUGGGAAAGAUUUCAUCGGCGUGGGAUGGGGUCGCGUCCUAUCAGCUUGUUGGUGAGGUAACGGCUCACCAAGGCUUCGACGGGUAGCCGGCCUGAGAGGGCGACCGGCCACAUUGGGACUGAGAUACGGCCCAGACUCCUACGGGAGGCAGCAGUGGGGAAUAUUGCACAAUGGGCGCAAGCCUGAUGCAGCGACGCCGCGUGAGGGAUGGAGGCCUUCGGGUUGUAAACCUCUUUUGUUUGGGAGCAAGCCUUCGGGUGAGUGUACCUUUCGAAUAAGCGCCGGCUAACUACGUGCCAGCAGCCGCGGUAAUACGUAGGGCGCAAGCGUUAUCCGGAUUUAUUGGGCGUAAAGGGCUCGUAGGCGGCUCGUCGCGUCCGGUGUGAAAGUCCAUCGCUUAACGGUGGAUCUGCGCCGGGUACGGGCGGGCUGGAGUGCGGUAGGGGAGACUGGAAUUCCCGGUGUAACGGUGGAAUGUGUAGAUAUCGGG